Molecule: long non-coding RNA, 485 nt
Filed under: Equus asinus (donkey)
Lineage: Eukaryota; Metazoa; Chordata; Mammalia; Perissodactyla; Equidae
Description: lncRNA (ENSEASG00005037674.1)
Source: RNAcentral
GGCUACCCAUGCAAGAAGGCACUAGGUCCAGAUAAGUUCACGUGGGAAUUUAAUCAAAUCUUCAGGAAAUAGAUAAUUUUCACUCAAUUUGAGCUAUAUCAUAAAAUUAAAAAGAAGGAAAGCUUCAAGAAUCCUAUUGUUUGUUUUUCUUUCUUUUAAUUCAAUAUAAAAUUGAUGCCGAUAUCUGGACUAUUUUGAACUCAGUUCUGCCUCCCUUCCUUCUAGUUCCUCUAUGUGGGAUGAGCCACAGCAUGGCCUGAUGAGCAGUGCAUAGGUCCAUGCCUGGAAUCCAAACUGCUAAACCCCAGGCCACUGAAGCAGAGCACCUGAACUUAACCACCCAGCCCGCUGUCUUAAGUCUGGAUCCUAGCCCAGCCCUCAAUGCCUCCAAGAUCUCAGAUUUGAAGCAAUGUAUGAAGUGUCCAGACAAUCAAUACCCAAUAGUGUUUGAGAUCAUUGCCUCCCAAAGGUUGUGAUCUUCUCGG